Long non-coding RNA from Ipomoea nil (Japanese morning glory), 1069 nucleotides. RefSeq lists it as uncharacterized. The transcript is spliced from 2 exons. The record is from RefSeq and is a predicted model, not a curated record. NCBI's taxonomy places the organism in Eukaryota, Viridiplantae, Streptophyta, Magnoliopsida, Solanales, Convolvulaceae.
CCCAUUUUUGUCCCCUCCGUAACCCUCUCCCUUCUCUCUUCUCUCUAUUCUCUAUUCUCUAUUCUCUCUUUCUCUUCCUGAUUUGAACUUCCUAUCUGAUUUCGCCGCCGCACACGGCGGAGACGCCACCGAGACCACCGUACGCUCGCCGAGAUCCGCCCGAUUCCGGCGGCCCUUCCGGAUCUCCUUUCACCUCUUCCAAGGGUUAAUUAAAAAUUCUCGCUGCUGACGUGGCGAGCCUGGGAUUGAUCGAGUAAGAUUAGAUUAGUGGAAACGGACGGUGGAGAUGAGUUAUCACGCGCGGCGAUUCUUGCCACCUGGGGGGGCGUCGAGGAAACGGAAAGAGAGGGAAACGGCGUCUUAUCCGACGUGGCCGUCAAGUCCAGUGACGGCCGUUAGCAGUCCCAGUCAAAAGGCAACGACGUCGUCGAAGCAAGCCGAGCCGGCCUCGUCUAACCGGCUCCUAGCCGGGUACAUGGCUUAUGAGUUCUUAACUAGCGGAACUCUGUUCGGGCAGAAGUUCGACCCGGCUCGAGCCGAGGCCGUCCCAGUGAACAACAACAAUAACCUCUCCUCCGAGUUGAAACGGGGCAGUAAGCCGGGUCAGGGCCCGACGAGCCAGGAACCCGAGCCGAGCCAAGCUUACAUUGAAGUGGCGACCCUACUGAAGAACGACGGGGCCCACAUCCCCGGUGUAGUCAAUCCAAUGCAGCUGGCACGAUGGAUUCAGAUGUGACACCAUGGUGGAGAACCGACCUCGAGGGUGACGUGGCAGCUUUUCAUUGGCCCAAAGUCGCGGCUCACGUAAGAAACCAUAGAACCGCCCUUACCUUUAUAAAACUUCUCCUCCCUCUUUAGCGCUUUCGUAGGUGGCGGGCUUGUGAAAAACGCAAAAAAAAAAAAAAAAAAAAAAACUUGCAUGGCCGCCAUGAAAGCCAGGAGAAAAACUCAACGUUUUGUUCAUGCUUAUCCUCUUUUUCUUUUUUAUGAAAAAAAAAAUCUGGGUCUUUCUCUUUCAUUAAAAUACUCUUUAAUUAGAUUGUUAUACCAUAUAUCCUUCUUUUACUUA